UACGUAGGGGGCAAGCGUUGUCCGGAAUCAUUGGGCGUAAAGCGCGUGUAGGCGGCUUCGUCAGUCCGUUGUGAAAGUCCAGGGCUCAACCCUGGAAUGCCGAUGGAUACUGCGGAGCUAGAGUCCGGAAGAGGCGAGUGGAAUUCCUGGUGUAGCGGUGAAAUGCGCAGAUAUCAGGAGGAACACCGGUGGCGAAGGCGGUGGUCUGGGCCAGCACUGACGCUGAGGAGCGAAAGCGUGGGGAGCAAACAGG
This 253-nucleotide ribosomal RNA is filed under the name uncultured bacterium. RNAcentral's name for it is "partial 16S ribosomal RNA". It matches the Rfam family "Bacterial small subunit ribosomal RNA", at positions 524 to 776 of the family's 1533-position model. The record is from RNAcentral.